Carassius carassius (crucian carp) is the source of this 1226-nucleotide long non-coding RNA. RefSeq lists it as uncharacterized. The transcript has 2 exons. The record is from RefSeq and is a predicted model, not a curated record. NCBI's taxonomy places the organism in Eukaryota, Metazoa, Chordata, Actinopteri, Cypriniformes, Cyprinidae.
CUUUUUUUAAUUGCGUUGUGCACUGCUGGGCCACAAAUGAGAGCAGAAUAACACAAUCGAACUGCAACAUCAAACACACAGUACAACGCAACUAGCGAAUUGGGAUCUGUUACUACGAAUAUUUCAUAAAAAGGACAAAACAAAAACUACAUUUAUGAGUAGUUAGAAUCGAUCUAAUCAAAUACUAAAAGAAUCAGUUAUGAAAUCACUAACAAACCAAGUCAGUUAAAUGAAAUAGGGUAUAGAAAAUUAUUAAUUGUGGUAGAAUUAAUUGUAAUUUUUUUUUUUAUUCUGAUCGCUACUUUUUAAUGUAUGUAGAUGCUUUUCUAAAUGUUUUGAUUUAGUAGCAAUGUCUAACAUUUUUAAUCAUGCCGCUUCCUCUUAAUAGCGUAGCCUGUUUCGUGCAAAAUAUUCCUGAUUUAUUCACAAAGUAUUACCCCUUUAAUCUACUAAUUUUCUUUGAUAAAUGAAGGGUAGGCAAAGUUAGUGACUCCAAAUUAGAAGAGAUGUUCAUCGAUGGACUUGUUCCUCUCCUUAAUCGCCAAUCUUCAGAUGUGUCCAAACACCUGGCUUGCAGUUUUUUGAAUGGCUCUUUUCAAGAUCAGUCCCACAUACUAUACAGUAUAUGCCCAGAUGUAAGGAAGGAGAGAAGAACCUGUGUUAUUUUUUUCUUUCAAUCGUGAUCUACUCUACAUGGAUCUGCUGAGAUGGACUAUUGGAGGAUUACACACAUCUACAGACUAUCUUAUGACCACCUGGUACAAACAUCCAUUUGUUACCUAAUUGUUCUACUUGAUCUUUAAGACUUCUUGCACAGUUAAUCUCUUUUUUGAAUGAUUUCUUGUUAAUGAAGGUUGCUUGAUUCCUUGAGGGUAAGUGGACUGCUGUAAUUGAUCUCUGUUUGGUAAUGCAGAAGCUGAUGUCCAUGUUUACUGACUUGUCAUGCUUGUUGCCACAAGCUAAAUUAGAGUUUGCUAAAGGCGCUUGAUGCAUGAUUUUACCCAAUAGCAGUGGUUUGGCAUUUAUUUCGCUUGUUUGUCUGCCAAUUUAUUGCUUGUACAAUACAGUAGUUCCUGUGUUUAAAUAGCAUUUUUUUUUAAUUAAUGUGCUACCAAUUAGUGGUUGUAUCUAGCUGUGCAAACUAACACAUUUAUUAACACUUUAGGCAUAACAUAAUAAACUUGUUGGAAAAAAAUGACAUUAAAUAAAUGAAAAUUAAAAGUUUA